UACGUAGGGAGCAAGCGUUGUCCGGAAUCAUUGGGCGUAAAGCGCGCGUAGGUGGCCUCAUAAGUCCGCUGUGAAAGUCAAAGGCUCAACCUUUGAAAGCCGGUGGAUACUGUGAGGCUAGAGUACGGAAGAGGCGAGUGGAAUUCUUGGUGUAGCGGUGAAAUGCGUAGAUAUCAAGAGGAACACCUGCGGCGAAGGCGGGUUGCUGGGCUGACACUGACGCUGAGGCGCGAAAGCGUGGGGAGCGAACAGG
Molecule: ribosomal RNA, 253 nt
Filed under: uncultured bacterium
Lineage: Bacteria
Description: partial 16S ribosomal RNA
Rfam family: Bacterial small subunit ribosomal RNA
Source: RNAcentral